RNAcentral lists this ribosomal RNA (117 nucleotides) under uncultured eukaryote. RNAcentral's name for it is "partial small subunit ribosomal RNA". It matches the Rfam family "Bacterial small subunit ribosomal RNA", at positions 1413 to 1525 of the family's 1533-position model. The record is from RNAcentral.
GUCUGUACCCAAAACCAUUUUAGCUAACCUGUUAAAGGAGGCGGAUGUCUAAGGUAUGGGGAGUGAUUGGGGUGAAGUCGUAACAAGGUAGCUGUAGGUGAACCUGCAGAAGGAUCA